This 508-nucleotide ribosomal RNA is filed under the name uncultured bacterium. Its description in RNAcentral is "bacterial SSU rRNA". It matches the Rfam family "Bacterial small subunit ribosomal RNA", at positions 13 to 524 of the family's 1533-position model. The record is from RNAcentral.
UUGAUCCUGGCUCAGGAUGAACGCUAGCGGCAGGCUUAACACAUGCAAGUCGAGGGGUAUAGUAGCAAUACUUGAGACCGGCGCACGGGUGCGUAACGCGUAUGCAAUCUACCUUUUACAGAGGGAUAGCCCAGAGAAAUUUGGAUUAAUACCUCAUAGUAUUAUAGAAUGGCAUCAUUUUAUAAUUAAAGUCACAACGGUAAAAGAUGAGCAUGCGUCCCAUUAGCUAGUUGGUAAGGUAACGGCUUACCAAGGCUACGAUGGGUAGGGGUCCUGAGAGGGAGAUCCCCCACACUGGUACUGAGACACGGACCAGACUCCUACGGGAGGCAGCAGUGAGGAAUAUUGGACAAUGGGCGCAAGCCUGAUCCAGCCAUGCCGCGUGCAGGAUGACGGUCCUAUGGAUUGUAAACUGCUUUUAUACGAGAAGAAACACUGCUUCGUGAAGCAGCUUGACGGUAUCGUAAGAAUAAGGAUCGGCUAACUCCGUGCCAGCAGCCGCGGUAAU